RNAcentral lists this transfer RNA (74 nucleotides) under Prosthecobacter sp. Its description in RNAcentral is "tRNA-Ile". It matches the Rfam family "tRNA". From Rfam's summary of the family: Transfer RNA (tRNA) molecules are approximately 80 nucleotides in length. Their secondary structure includes four short double-helical elements and three loops (D, anti-codon, and T loops). Lineage: Bacteria; Pseudomonadati; Verrucomicrobiota; Verrucomicrobiia; Verrucomicrobiales; Verrucomicrobiaceae. RNAcentral also lists the same sequence under 1 other name. The record is from RNAcentral.
CCCUCUGUAGCUCAACAGCAGAGCACCCGCCCGAUAAGCGGGAGACCGUGGCGCGACACCACGCCGAGGGACCA